GAACGCGAAGAACCUUACCAGGUCUUGACAUCCCUCUGACCGCUCUAGAGAUAGAGUUUUCCUUCGGGACAGAGGUGACAGGUGGUGCAUGGUUGUCGUCAGCUCGUGUCGUGAGAUGUUGGGUUAAGUCCCGCAACGAGCGCAACCCCUAUUGUUAGUUGCCAUCAUUCAGUUGGGCACUCUAGCGAGACUGCCGGUAAUAAACCGGAGGAAGGUGGGGAUGACGUCAAAUCAUCAUGCCCCUUAUGACCUGGGCUACACACGUGCUACAAUGGCUGGUACAACGAGUCGCAAGCCGGUGACGGCAAGCUAAUCUCUUAAAGCCAGUCUCAGUUCGGAUUGUAGGCUGCAACUCGCUACAUGAAGUCGGAAUCGCUAGUAAUCGCGGAUCAGCACGCCGCGGUGAAUACGUUCCCGGGUCUUGUACACACC
This 432-nucleotide ribosomal RNA is filed under the name uncultured bacterium. RNAcentral describes it as "bacterial SSU rRNA". It matches the Rfam family "Bacterial small subunit ribosomal RNA", at positions 957 to 1391 of the family's 1533-position model. The record is from RNAcentral.